This 234-nucleotide ribosomal RNA is filed under the name uncultured bacterium. RNAcentral's name for it is "partial 16S ribosomal RNA". It matches the Rfam family "Bacterial small subunit ribosomal RNA", at positions 28 to 253 of the family's 1533-position model. The record is from RNAcentral.
GACGAACGCUGGCGGCGUGCUUAACACAUGCAAGUCGAGCGGUAAGGCCCUUUCGGGGUACGACGAGCGGCGAACGGGUAGAGUAACAACGUGGGUGGACCUCGCCCUCCAGCUCUGGGAGUAAGCCUCGGGAAACCGGGUACGUAAUACUGGAGUAUGACUCCAUGACGCAUGUUGUGGGGUGGAAAGCCUUGUGCGGCUGAGGAUGGGCCCGCGGCCUAUCAGCUUGUUGGU